CUAUUUAUUCAUAGGAUACAUUGAUAUGGAGCACGAUUUUCUUCGACUGUAUUAUACAAUUACUUGAUUUUCAUUUAAUCACUAUACUUGGUAGCACUUGCUUUAGGUUCAGAAUCGUACUUGGUAUUUGACCUGGAUGCAAAGUCAUCAUACUUGCUAAUAUUUGGUCUCGGUUCAAAAUCAUCGUUUUUGGUAAUGCUUGAUUUGAGUUCUAAAUCAUCAUAUUUGGUAACACUUGGUCUCGAUUCAAAAUCAUCAUUCUCGGUAACGCUUGACCUGAGUUCAAAGUCAUCAUACUUGCUAAUAUUUGGUCUCGGUUCAAAAUCAUCAUUCUCGGUAACGCUUGACCUGAGUUCAAAAUCAUCAUAUUUGGUAGCACUUGGUCUCGGUUCAAAAUCAUUGUUCUUGGUAACGCUUGACUUGAGUUCAAAAUCAUCAUACUUAGUAACACUUGGUCUCGAUUCAAAAUCAUCGUUCUUGAUAAUGCUUGACUUGAAUUCCAAAUCAUCAUAUUUGGUAACACUUGGUAUGGGUUCGAAGUCACUGUUAACUUGUGUAUUUGUAACUAGAGACUCUUCACAAUGGUUUUUGGAACCUUUACCAAGCUGCUCUUGAGUCUUAGGGUUAUUUUCAGAUUGAAAUGAAACAAGACCUUGAAGUCCUUCUGGCAUUUCCUGAUCUUUCAUGAUCAUUUUCCAAUAUUCCCCUGGAUCUUUUCUUGAUUCCGUAGUGGCAGCUAACUUCUCCACAAAAUUUGCGCAUAUAGAGAAAAUUAACAAAAAGGGAAACGUUUGUCAAAAUGUUAUCUCCAUGCCUAACUAACCCAAGAUGCCCAUGCACAAUAUAAUUUCAAACUAAUACUAGAUAAUUCGAUCAAAAUGCCAAUAGUAGAGUUGAAAACUAUAUUAGAUUAAAGUUUUAACCGAUUCUACAAAUAAUCAUGAUUUUUUACACCCUUUUCUUAUACUAUAUUCUUACACUUUAUAAACAUUGGUGAAAAGAUUUUUACCAUAAAAAAACGCGUAAAGCAAGGUAGUUGAGAUUCAAGCAUAAGUAGUGUAAUAAAAAAAUGUGAUAGGAUAUUUAUCAUUUAGAAGUAGGGAAGCAAAUAUUAAAAAGAACCUUGGACUACAUGACGUUUGAAUAGUUUAGCAUUAUAAAUAAAUAAUUUUGGCAAGACAUUCUGAUUUCUCCUCAUUUUGUCAAGCUUAUUUAGAUUCCUUCACCCCCCUAAUACUGAUAAAUUAAACGUAUCCAUUUAAAUCCCUAAAUACUGUGAGGAAUGGAAAAUAACUAAAUAAUAUCAAGAGAAGGAAAGAUAAUAAAAAUUGUGAUACAAUGGAAGGUGAACAUACCAAGAAAGCAAAUAGAAGAGGAAGCAAAGCAAGAGCAGGCCUCAUUGUCAAUUCAAUAAUAUAUAGAACGCCUCUCGC
RNAcentral lists this long non-coding RNA (1433 nucleotides) under Glycine max (soybean). RNAcentral describes it as "long non-coding RNA (GMAX_LNC002437)". The record is from RNAcentral. Lineage: Eukaryota; Viridiplantae; Streptophyta; Magnoliopsida; Fabales; Fabaceae.